GCUCCGGUGGCAUCGUGGUUAGAGCGUCCGCCUGGGAUGCUGAAAGUCGUGGGUUCGAUCCCCGAUCGAGUCA
Potamilus streckersoni is the source of this 73-nucleotide non-coding RNA. The record is from the annotation of a GenBank genome assembly. Lineage: Eukaryota; Metazoa; Mollusca; Bivalvia; Unionida; Unionidae.